CAGCAGCCGCGGUAAUACGAGGGGUGCAAGCGUUAUUCGGAUUGAUUGGGUGUAAAGGGUGUGCAGACGGCUUAUUAAGUCACUUGUUAAAUUCUUCGGCUUAACCUGGGAACUGCGCUUAUGACUGCACAGCUAGAGUAUGGCAGAGGGGGGUGGAAUUCCACGUGUAGCAGUGAAAUGCGUAGAGAUGUGGAGGAACACCGAUGGCGAAGGCAGCCCCCUGGGCCAAUACCGACGCUCAUGCACGAAAGCGUGGGGAGCAAACAGGAUUAGAUACCCGGGUAGUCCCUGUCUCUUAUAC
RNAcentral lists this ribosomal RNA (301 nucleotides) under uncultured bacterium. RNAcentral describes it as "partial 16S ribosomal RNA". It matches the Rfam family "Bacterial small subunit ribosomal RNA", at positions 509 to 807 of the family's 1533-position model. The record is from RNAcentral.